This 781-nucleotide small RNA is filed under the name Pan troglodytes (chimpanzee). RNAcentral's name for it is "processed transcript". Lineage: Eukaryota; Metazoa; Chordata; Mammalia; Primates; Hominidae. The record is from RNAcentral.
CCGGGAGGUGCUGACACUGCAGUUGGGACAUUUUGCCGGUUUCGUGGGCGCGCACUGGUGGAACCAGCAGGAUGCUGCGCUGGGCCGAGCGACCGAUUCCAAGGAGCCCCCGGGAGAGCUGUGCCCCGACGUCCUGUAUCGUACGGGCCGGACGCUGCACGGCCAGGAGACCUACACGCCGCGACUCAUCCUCAUGGAUCUGAAGGGUAGUUUGAGCUCCCUAAAAGAGGAAGGUGGACUCUACAGGGACAAACAGUUGGAUGCUGCAAUAGCAUGGCAGGGGAAACUCACCACACACAAAGAGGAACUCUAUCCCAAGAACCCUUAUCUCCAAGACUUUCUGAGUGCAGAGAGGCCAGCAUCAGGGUCUGGUCAGACUUCCUCAGAGUCCAUCUCCAUCCCCGGAGCAUCUGUAUGAUUCAGAAGUACAACCACGAUGGGACAAGAGGCUGAGGAGUUGAGGGAAGAGAUGUAAGUCUUGGAUCGUGUUUACUUGUGGCAGGGAAGCAGGUCGGCUGGAGGCUUUUGGCCAAGGGGAAAGUGUCCUAAAGGAACCCAAGUACCAGGAAGAGCUGGAGGACAGGCUGCACUUCUACGUGGAGGAAUGUGACUACUUGCAGGGCUUCCAGAUCCUGUGUGACCUGCACGAUGGCUUCUCUGGGGUAGGCGCGAAGGCGGCAGAGCUGCUACAAGAUGAAUAUUCAGGGCGGGGAAUAAUAACUUGGGGCCUGCUACCUGGUCCCUACCAUCGUGGGGUGAGUGGAACUUAGAGAAGUAAACA